GAUGAAGAACGCAGUGAAAUGCGAUACGUAAUGUGAAUUGCAGAAUUCAGUGAAUCAUCGAGUCUUUGAACGCACAUUGCGCCCCCUGGUAUUCCGGGGGGCAUGCCUGUCCGAGCGUCAUUGCUGCCCUCAAGCACGGCUUGUGUGUUGGGCCUCCGUCCUCCUCCCGGGGGACGGGCCCGAAAGGCAGCGGCGGCACCGCGUCCGGUCCUCGAGCGUAUGGGGCUUCGUCACCCGCUCUUGUAGGCCCGGCCGGCGCUUGCCGACACAUCAAUCUUUUUUCCAGGUUGACCUCGGAUCAGGUAGGGAUACCCGCUGAACUUAAUCAUAUCAAUAAGCGGAGGA
RNAcentral lists this unclassified non-coding RNA (345 nucleotides) under soil metagenome. Its description in RNAcentral is "partial contains 5.8S ribosomal RNA, internal transcribed spacer 2, and large subunit ribosomal RNA". The stretch from base 1 to 120 matches the Rfam family "5.8S ribosomal RNA", at positions 35 to 154 of the family's 154-position model. The record is from RNAcentral.